UUCUGGCUCAGGAUGAACGCUAGCUACAGGCUUAACACAUGCAAGUCGUGGGGCAGCGCUGGGAAUGCUUGCAUUCCCUGGCGGCGACCGGCGGAUGGGUGAGUAACGCGUAUCCAACCUGCCCCGCGCCCGGGGACAGCCCUUAGAAAUGAGGAUUAACCCCCGAUAUGUGUCCCUGCCGCAUGGCCGGGCCACGAAACAGGACGCGGGAUGGGGAUGCGUUCCAUUAGGCAGCAGGCGGGUAACGGCCCACCUGGCCCGCGAUGGAUAGGGGUUCUGAGAGGAAGGUCCCCCACACUGGAACUGAGACACGGUCCAGACUCCUACGGGAGGCAGCAGUGAGGAAUAUUGGUCAAUGGGCGGAAGCCUGAACCAGCCAAGUCGCGUGAAAGGAUGAAGGUUCUAUGGAUUGUAAACUUCUUUUGUCCGAGGGUAAAAAAGGUCACGUGUGACUUCUUGCAAGUAUCGGACGAAUAAGCAUCGGCUAACUCCGUGCCAGCCGCAGC
Molecule: ribosomal RNA, 506 nt
Filed under: uncultured bacterium
Lineage: Bacteria
Description: bacterial SSU rRNA
Rfam family: Bacterial small subunit ribosomal RNA
Source: RNAcentral